Molecule: ribosomal RNA, 655 nt
Filed under: uncultured Arthrobacter sp.
Lineage: Bacteria; Bacillati; Actinomycetota; Actinomycetes; Micrococcales; Micrococcaceae
Description: bacterial SSU rRNA
Rfam family: Bacterial small subunit ribosomal RNA
Source: RNAcentral
GGCCUAUCAGCUUGUUGGUGAGGUAAUGGCUUACCAAGGCGACGACGGGUAGCCGGCCUGAGAGGGUGACCGGCCACACUGGGACUGAGACACGGCCCAGACUCCUACGGGAGGCAGCAGUGGGGAAUAUUGCACAAUGGGCGAAAGCCUGAUGCAGCGACGCCGCGUGAGGGAUGACGGCCUUCGGGUUGUAAACCUCUUUCAGUAGGGAAGAAGCGAAGGUGACGGUACCUGCAGAAGAAGCGCCGGCUAACUACGUGCCAGCAGCCGCGGUAAUACGUAGGGCGCAAGCGUUAUCCGGAAUUAUUGGGCGUAAAGAGCUCGUAGGCGGUUUGUCGCGUCUGCCGUGAAAGUCCGGGGCUCAACUCCGGAUCUGCGGUGGGUACGGGCAGACUAGAGUGAUGUAGGGGAGACUGGAAUUCCUGGUGUAGCGGUGAAAUGCGCAGAUAUCAGGAGGAACACCGAUGGCGAAGGCAGGUCUCUGGGCAUUAACUGACGCUGAGGAGCGAAAGCAUGGGGAGCGAACAGGAUUAGAUACCCUGGUAGUCCAUGCCGUAAACGUUGGGCACUAGGUGUGGGGGACAUUCCACGUCUUCCGCGCCGUAGCUAACGCAUUAAGUGCCCCGCCUGGGGAGUACGGAAGCUUGGAAUUCGC